This 69-nucleotide transfer RNA is filed under the name Fasciola hepatica (liver fluke). RNAcentral describes it as "tRNA-Arg". Lineage: Eukaryota; Metazoa; Platyhelminthes; Trematoda; Plagiorchiida; Fasciolidae. The record is from RNAcentral.
UUCCAGAUGGGACUCGAACCACAACCUCCGGAUUAGAAGUCCGACACGCAAUCCACUGCGCCACCUGGA